CGGGAUGUGGCUCAGCCUGGUAGAGCACACGCUUGGGGUGCGUGGGGUCGGAGGUUCAAAUCCUCUCAUCCCGA
Molecule: transfer RNA, 74 nt
Filed under: Deltaproteobacteria bacterium CG11_big_fil_rev_8_21_14_0_20_45_16
Lineage: Bacteria; Deltaproteobacteria
Description: tRNA-Pro
Rfam family: tRNA
About the family: Transfer RNA (tRNA) molecules are approximately 80 nucleotides in length.
Source: RNAcentral